This 119-nucleotide ribosomal RNA is filed under the name uncultured crenarchaeote. Its description in RNAcentral is "partial 16S ribosomal RNA". It matches the Rfam family "Archaeal small subunit ribosomal RNA", at positions 339 to 458 of the family's 1478-position model. Lineage: Archaea; Thermoproteati; Thermoproteota. The record is from RNAcentral.
GCGAGAAAACUUUGCAAUGUGCGAAAGCACGACAAGGUUAAUCCGAGUGAUUUCUGCUAAAGAAAUCUUUUGCAAGUCAUAAAACCACUAGUGAAUAAGGGGUGGGCAAGUUCUGGUGU